Non-coding RNA from Tinamus guttatus (white-throated tinamou), 104 nucleotides. The record is from RefSeq and is a predicted model, not a curated record. NCBI's taxonomy places the organism in Eukaryota, Metazoa, Chordata, Aves, Tinamiformes, Tinamidae.
GACAAGUCCGAAAUGAACCGGCAGGUUCGGUACCAUAUUACAGGAGGGAAUCCCAAAGGAAAGUUCGCUCUGGGACUAGUUCAGAAUGAAUGGAAGGUUUAUGU